Molecule: unclassified non-coding RNA, 1796 nt
Filed under: Leishmania donovani
Lineage: Eukaryota; Euglenozoa; Kinetoplastea; Trypanosomatida; Trypanosomatidae
Description: gene:LdHU3.31.0220(CDS-product:hypothetical_prote in_conserved)
Source: RNAcentral
UUGUCCUCCAGCCACUGGCAACGCGCACGCGUGCAUAUCCUCGGCGGCGCACUCACUCACUACCAUGAAGGAGCCGCGCACGCGUUCAUCAUAGAAAUGCCGAAACACUCGCGAAGAGAGCUGUCACCGCCGCUGCCAAAGACGGGGAUGAUAGGCGCCGCGGUGGAGUGCCUCCAUGCCGUCCUGCAUGAGGUCACCCUGCAGCAGCAGGCGCUGCAGGCCGCCAUCAGCAUGCAAGUGAAGGAUAGCUGCGCGGCGGGCAGCACGCGCAUGUACACAUUUCUGGAGACCUCCCGCCACUAUCUUCGAUAUGUCAUCAUCUUUUACGUGCUGCUCAUGGCAGCCCUUGUGGUGUUGGUUGCGGACCUCUCUGGCUGCCUUGUCACGUCGGUAGCCACUGCUGCAGGCAUCCGUCACCUCGUCCUCGCGAAUGUGCCUGGCACCGCCGUCAUUCCACUCCACUUCAACGCGCUGCCAUUCCACGAAGACGACUGGAUGCGGCACUUGCCAGAGGACACGGCACUCAGGGAUUUCAUUCUCCCCGACCGAGAGACACGCGAGCUCAUCCAGUCCAGGACGCAGCGCGUCGACUCUCUCAGCCUCCUGCAUCAGCACAUGGGGCAGUUUGCAGAUGCAAAGUUCUCGCUGCUGAGCCACUUCGUUAACAGUCACCUGGCCUCCACCACCAUGCACAUCCCUCGCACCGCCGCCUCGGCAGAGGUCUUCUCUCCGAGAGGAGGCGUCAAUCUCGAGAGUCUCUUCCAGUUAGGGCCCGCCAUGUUCAACGCGAAGGGCGAGUACACGGCUAAGGUGCAGGUGGUGCUGGCGAAAGAGGAGGUGGGCCGGGUCGUAUCACUCAUCCUGGAGUCCGCCAUGCUCUUCUCCGAGGACGCCAUGGCCGUGCAGUCCGUUGCCCAGCUCGACGUUCUCUUCACGAAAAGUACCUCCGUCACGGUGCGCACCGGACCGCUAAACCGGUCGUGGUUCGUGCUACUGCUGGAGAAGGUGCUGCGAUUUUGGUUCUGCCUGCCGGUGUGGUCGUACGAGUACCUAGUAAGUGCGCUGCGCCAGCAGGAUAGCGCGCCGUUUCCGCCCAUCGACUCAUCCCGCGAGGUGGCGGUUGUGCUGGAGGUCUACCACCGCUUCACGCCUCCUCUUGACCUGCAGCCCCGCUUGCGCGCCAUGAACUUCACGCUUUACCAGCUCCCUGACGUCGGCGCACCCUCACGCGUUAAAGUGUCGCGGCUCAUCUUUUUCUCCACCGUGCAGCUCACGGGAGUGGCGCGGUGGCUGACCGACUACCCCGUCUCCACGUUUCUGCUACUUGUCGCCAUCCUCUUUGCUGCGUUCGCAGUGGUAAGCGUCGGCAGUCUACUCGGGCUCCUCGCCUACGCUUAUUGGCGCUGGUUCCGCGAGCAGCCGCUGGAAUCGUUCGACGAGGAUGACUCGGGCGCCGAGUUCUUUGCAUCGCCGCGCGAUAUGCCUGCCACGGCGGUAAAGAACAUGGCGCCUCCAAGUUUGCGCCGACACCGCAGCAGCAACGAAUUUUACGAUAGCCUCGACACCUCUCAGCUGCGCCGCUCCCAAUCGUUCAACUACUCCCCAGUGAAGAAGGAAGAGUAGCAUCGACAUCGUUUGGCCGAGGGACUGGCGUCUGUGAAGGAGGCAGCGGGCCGUGCGUGGAGAAGUAUGCGCCGCCGACAGUGAUCCUCGCCGCUCUAUGCUCUGAUGUUUGUUUUGGUAAGGGGAGCUGCUGCUCCUGCGCUUUCUUUCCUGUGUCUCGCAUACACAUACAC